CCUACGGGAGGCAGCAGUUUCGAAUCAUUCACAAUGGGCGAAAGCCUGAUGGUGCGACGCCGCGUGAGGGAUGAAGGUCUUCGGAUUGUAAACCUCUGUCACCGGGGAAGAAACGCUUCAAGUUAAUAGUUUGAAGCCUGACUUAACCCGGAGAGGAAGCAGUGGCUAACUCUGUGCCAGCAGCCGCGGUAAUACAGAGACUGCAAGCGUUAUUCGGAUUCACUGGGCGUAAAGGGUGCGCAGGCGGCCAAGUGUGUGAGGCGUGAAAGCCCGGAGCUUAACUCCGGAAUUGCACCUCAAACUACUUGGCUAGAGCAUUGGAGAGGGUAGCAGAAUUCACGGUGUAGCAGUGAAAUGCGUAGAUAUCGUGAGGAAUACCAGAGGCGAAGGCGGCUACCUAGACAAUUGCUGACGCUCAGGCACGAAAGCGUGGGGAGCAAAGGGAUUAGAUACCCCUGUAGUCCACGCCCUAAACGGUGCACACUAGGUCUUGGCGGAUUCGACCCCACCAGGGCCCAAGCUAACGCGUUAAGUGUGCCGCCUGAGGACUACGGCCCGCAAGGCUAAAACGUUAAAGUAGUAGUAGGACGNGUAGACGAGCGACGGACGGACACGACGGGAGGGAGAGG
RNAcentral lists this ribosomal RNA (629 nucleotides) under uncultured bacterium. Its description in RNAcentral is "bacterial SSU rRNA". It matches the Rfam family "Bacterial small subunit ribosomal RNA", at positions 338 to 1243 of the family's 1533-position model. The record is from RNAcentral.